This 61-nucleotide microRNA precursor is filed under the name Euprymna scolopes. Its description in RNAcentral is "Esc-Mir-12550_pre stem-loop". Lineage: Eukaryota; Metazoa; Mollusca; Cephalopoda; Sepiida; Sepiolidae. The record is from RNAcentral.
AGAUCGGUACAGUGGCUUUGGCCUGGAAUGGUAAUUUCCAAAGCUUCUCGUACCCAUCCUU